Long non-coding RNA from Orussus abietinus, 1011 nucleotides. RefSeq lists it as uncharacterized. The record is from RefSeq and is a predicted model, not a curated record. The transcript is spliced from 2 exons. NCBI's taxonomy places the organism in Eukaryota, Metazoa, Arthropoda, Insecta, Hymenoptera, Orussidae.
GAAUAGUUGACAAGGCGCUGAAUGACGGCGACGAGAUGCGACAGGAACGCAACAGGUAUCGGCCAAGGACAACCCGGAAGAGUAAGCUGCACCUAUGACGUCACUGGUACCAACGUUUAGGCGAAGAAACGCUAUCUAGCAAAAAUCCGUUCAUCAGGAAACUUGGCAGAGUUUUACACCAAAUACAUGCCGUUCCGUAAGGCCGAUAAAUUUGUAAAAGUUAGUCAUUUAUAUUUUGUAACGAGACAGGUCAGGUAUUAAUUACAUAACAUAUUCCCCAGCAUUGCUCAUAAUUUGUUACCGAACUCUAGACAGUUUUAUUUAAAUGUGCAAUUAUCUCUAGAAGAAAUUCCACGGCGAGACGCGAUAAGGACCCAACAUGUAUCCCAUCAAGGACAGGUAAGCACCCGGAAAAGCCGGAGGCUUUAUUGCAGCGCUUUUCUCCAAGUUUUCCCCAUUACAAGUGCACAUAAUAUGCUCAUUUAAUGCGCAGCCUUUUUAAUUGGUUCACUUGAUAGCCCGGAAGAGGAAGCGUCUUCUGGGCUACGCCAUGACGUCACUGGUACCAAUUUUUUAGGCGAAGGAACGCCGCCUAGCAGGAGCUCGCUCACACCUAGAAUGUUGUGUGGGACAUUAUGCAAAGUUUAGAAAGAAUUCGUAAAACAGGGAACGGUAUAAAUGCGAGUGGUGCCGGCAAUGGCGGCAUUCCAGGUGGGCGCUGGAGAACGCGGGAGCGUGUAAAAAAAAAAAUGUCCCGUCAAACGUGACAUUAAGGCCAUGAGUAUCUUGAUCAAUGGUGUUCCAUAAAUAAUAAUGUGCCCUCGCUUUCCGUACCUUUCGUCUCCCUUUAAUCCUAGCUAACUUUACCAUUCAUAAAAGUAAGCGAAACAAUUGAAUCGCAACAUUACUUAUAGCUUAGUUAUCUGGAGUUAACGCCAUAACGAUUUUCCAAUACAAUCCAUGAUCUUCCGAUUAUGAAGUACGCAGCGAAUAAAAAGACGCUGCAGACCA